This 355-nucleotide ribosomal RNA is filed under the name uncultured bacterium. Its description in RNAcentral is "bacterial SSU rRNA". It matches the Rfam family "Bacterial small subunit ribosomal RNA", at positions 8 to 354 of the family's 1533-position model. The record is from RNAcentral.
AGAGUUUGAUCCUGGCUCAGGAUGAACGCUAGCUACAGGCUUAACACAUGCAAGUCGAGGGGCAGCAUGGUCUUAGCUUGCUAAGGCCGAUGGCGACCGGCGCACGGGUGAGUAACACGUAUCCAACCUGCCGUCUACUCUUGGACAGCCUUCUGAAAGGAAGAUUAAUACAAGAUGGCAUCAUGAGUCCGCAUGUUCACAUGAUUAAAGGUAUUCCGGUAGACGAUGGGGAUGCGUUCCAUUAGAUAGUAGGCGGGGUAACGGCCCACCUAGUCUUCGAUGGAUAGGGGUUCUGAGAGGAAGGUCCCCCACAUUGGAACUGAGACACGGUCCAAACUCCUACGGGGGGCAGCAG